Molecule: ribosomal RNA, 492 nt
Filed under: uncultured bacterium
Lineage: Bacteria
Description: partial 16S ribosomal RNA
Rfam family: Bacterial small subunit ribosomal RNA
Source: RNAcentral
AGUGAACGCUGGCGGUAGGCCUAACACAUGCAAGUCGAACGGCAGCACAGUAAGAGCUUGCUCUUACGGGUGGCGAGUGGCGGACGGGUGAGGAAUACAUCGGAAUCUACUUUUUCGUGGGGGAUAACGUAGGGAAACUUACGCUAAUACCGCAUACGACCUACGGGUGAAAGCAGGGGAUCUUCGGACCUUGCGCGAUUGAAUGAGCCGAUGUCGGAUUAGCUAGUUGGCGGGGUAAAGGCCCACCAAGGCGACGAUCCGUAGCUGGUCUGAGAGGAUGAUCAGCCACACUGGAACUGAGACACGGUCCAGACUCCUACGGGAGGCAGCAGUGGGGAAUAUUGGACAAUGGGCGCAAGCCUGACCCAGCCAUACCGCGUGGGUGAAGAAGGCCUUCAGGUUGUAAAGCCCUUUUGUUGGGAAAGAAAAGCAGCAGGUUAAUACCCCGCUGUUCUGACGGUACCCAAAGAAUAAGCACCGGCUAACUUCGUG